CGUCUGCCUCAUCGUCGUCACACACGGCCUUCGACACCAUUCGCCUCGUCGUCGACUCCGGUCUCGUGUUCUCGGCCACUCGACAGCGACCUCCGUGGUGCAGGCGCAGGCUCGACAUGGAGCAGGCUCCGAGCUCUGCACCAAGCAUGGACACCAGCAUCAUUCGCCCCGCCGUUGAGUCCGCCCUUGUAUUCUCUGCUGCUUGGGAGCGACCUUCGCGGUGGAGGCGAAGGCCCGCAGCGCCCCUUCCUC
This 252-nucleotide long non-coding RNA is filed under the name Hordeum vulgare. RNAcentral's name for it is "long non-coding RNA (HVUL_LNC014574)". Lineage: Eukaryota; Viridiplantae; Streptophyta; Magnoliopsida; Poales; Poaceae. The record is from RNAcentral.